GACGAACGCUGGCGGCGUGCUUAACACAUGCAAGUCGAGCGGUAAGGCCCUUUCGGGGGUACACGAGCGGCGAACGGGUGAGUAACACGUGGGUGACCUGCCCUCAGCUCUGGGAUAAGCCUGGGAAACCGGGUCUAAUACCGGAUAUGACUCCAUGACGCAUGUUGUGGGGUGGAAAGCCUUGUGCGGCUGAGGAUGGGCCCGCGGCCUAUCAGCUUGUUGGUGGGGUGAUGGCCUACCAAGGCGACGACGGGUAGCCGGCCUGAGAGGGCGACCGGCCACACUGGGACUGAGACACGGCCCAGACUCCUACGGGAGGCAGCAGUGGGGAAUAUUGGACAAUGGGCGCAAGCCUGAUCCAGCCAUGCCGCGUGGGUGAAGAAGGCC
This 387-nucleotide ribosomal RNA is filed under the name uncultured bacterium. RNAcentral describes it as "bacterial SSU rRNA". It matches the Rfam family "Bacterial small subunit ribosomal RNA", at positions 28 to 416 of the family's 1533-position model. The record is from RNAcentral.